CCCAGCCAGGGCUGUCUGGCUUUUAUUUUACAGCUGAGGCAGAGCAACUUCAAUACUGCAGAAAGGUCAGGCAAAACAAAGACAGUUUUCUCCUUUUCAGUGCAAAACAAGACUCUGCCUUCUGACAGAUAAAGACAGGGAAGUGUGCAUAUUGUUGUAAUUUUAUAAAGUAAAUAGUGUCUGACUUCUUUCUAAUUUGUUCCUAGAAAAAAUGAAUGUAGAAGUCCUGGUGAAGCUACUUGAAAUUGAGGUGGAAAAUGAGCUAAAGUAAAAUGUUUCUAACCAGGGUUUACAGAGCUGAGUAAAUAAGAAAAUGUUUUUCUGUAAACUUCAGCAGAAACCACAUUAGGUAAAUCAGUUCCAGUUCCACAGCCAAGAGGGGACAGCUGAGCCCACAGUAACAGCAUUUACAGGGUCUGGUGACCUUCAGGUUCUUUGAGGAGCUGUCCUUGUCCCAGGACAGAGCUGGCUGGCCUGAGCAGCAGCCUGGGCUUUUUCUAUGCAGGCUGCAGCUUCCCUGGCUGCCCCAGGAUGGUGUUUGCACUGGGAUGGAUCAGCUGGACUUAAAAAGAGAUUUGCCUGAUGGUGGCCUUUGCCAUGGAAUUGUCACCACACCCAGCAGCUCCUGCUCUCAGCCCUGUCCCUCCUUAAGGAGUUCCUGUGCUGUGCCAUGGAUGGAGGAAACACAGCUUGGCCUGAGCUGUGAGAACCCCCAGCCCUGGUGGGAGCACAAGGAGCAGCUGCACCCAGAGCCCUGCACAGGU
Long non-coding RNA from Melozone crissalis (California towhee), 764 nucleotides. RefSeq lists it as uncharacterized. Lineage: Eukaryota; Metazoa; Chordata; Aves; Passeriformes; Passerellidae. The record is from RefSeq and is a predicted model, not a curated record. The transcript has 3 exons.